Molecule: transfer RNA, 72 nt
Organism: Camelus ferus (Wild Bactrian camel)
Lineage: Eukaryota; Metazoa; Chordata; Mammalia; Artiodactyla; Camelidae
Rfam family: tRNA
About the family: Transfer RNA (tRNA) molecules are approximately 80 nucleotides in length. Their secondary structure includes four short double-helical elements and three loops (D, anti-codon, and T loops).
Source: Rfam
GAAGGUAUAGCUCCAUGGUACAGCACAUGCUUAGCAUGCACGAGGUCCUGGGUUCAAUCCCCAGUACCUCCA